Molecule: long non-coding RNA, 1014 nt
Organism: Balaenoptera ricei (Rice's whale)
Lineage: Eukaryota; Metazoa; Chordata; Mammalia; Artiodactyla; Balaenopteridae
Exons: 3
Source: RefSeq, a predicted model, not a curated record
AGAUUUCCAAUCCUAUUUCCUCCGGUCACUUCGCCUCAGUUAUCUUACCAGCCGAAAAGGGAAACUAGCACCAUCUUCCUCGCGCUGGCAGGAGAGUUUAUCAAGCUAAUAGCGCACAUGACAGCGCUUGGCUCACAGUAAGCACUCAGUUCACCUGGGUUGAAAGUCAGCCACUAAUUAUCUCCUGGUACCCCUGAACUCUUCUAAGGCCGAGGGGAAGGGCUGCCGAGCUCGAGCAGGCCGGAGCGCCAGGGCUGUGGGAGCCACCGCGGGCACCUUCACCAACAGCGGAUCCCAUCCCCAAACGAGCCGGGCCUGGAGACAGCAAGGGCGUGAGGCCAAGGCCUCCUUCAGGCGGCCUGGAGCCGCCGCCUUCCCUUUUGCCGCAAACCUGGCCAUUUAGAGAGAGCAGAGGAAGAAGAGCAAGUUGCUGCGAGAAUAAAAGGUUGAGCACGGCGAUGCCCGCUAAGCAGGACACCGCUCACUUACCGGCAGGCCUACUCGCCAUUUUAACCCGAGACAGAACCGUUGCCUGCUGGGUGAAGUUCUACCUCAAGCCAUUAUAGUGGAAGCGCUAUAUGCAGUACUAAAAGGUGAUGAAUGGCUGCUCCCAGACUACACUAGCCAAAGUGAAGUUGGAAGAUAUGAAGAAAUGCAGUACAUUUGUAAGUUGGCACAUCGCCUUAGAAGAAGUACUCAGUAGGGACUUCCCUGGUGGCGCAGUGUUUAAGAAUCCGCCUGCCAGUGCAGGGGACAUGGGUUCGAGCCCUGGUCCGGGCACAUCCCACAUGCUGCGGAGCAGCUAAGCCCGUGCGCCACAACUACUGAGCCUGCACUCUAAAGCCUGUGAGCCACAACUACUGAGCCCGAGUGCCACAACUACUGAAGCUCAUGUGCCUAGAGCCCGUGCUCUGCAACAAGCCACCGCAAUGAGAAGCCCACGCAGUGCAACAAAGAGUAGCCCCCGCUCGCCACAACUAGAGAAAGCCCGCACGCAGCAACGAAGACCCAACA